Molecule: long non-coding RNA, 8103 nt
Organism: Athalia rosae (coleseed sawfly)
Lineage: Eukaryota; Metazoa; Arthropoda; Insecta; Hymenoptera; Athaliidae
Exons: 3
Source: RefSeq, a predicted model, not a curated record
UUCAACGAACGGCUUCUGCACGGUCCAGGAAAUACCAUGGAACCGUAUUUUUUGCAGAAAAUUAGCGAUUGAUUUUUGAGAAGAAAAAAAAAAAAAAGAAAAGAAAUUCUCAUCAGAAAAUAGGGAUGAUAUUUCAACACAUUAUAGAAAUUAUAACACCGCAUUGUAUUAUAGGUACAUACAUACAAUCCCGAGUGGGGACUCAUAUUCAAUGGGAACAAAGAGCUGGCGUCAUUAAACUGACAUUUAGCGGGAUCAUUGAAUCGCUCGUUUUUUGCAUUUUCCAUUUUUCCACGCAUACCAGGUGGGCUGAAUAAUUCAAUCGAGGGUACCCGUAUAGCCUGCGUCGUUAUACGCAUAUUUAUCGAACUAAAAAGUUGGUUAUCCUCUUGUGCGAGGCGCCGUGUAAUUACCUAUUCAAAUAAGGAAAAAUUGAUCGUUCGGAUUCUCCGGAAGUUGUGGGAUGAAAAUUUGAGAAAUCUUGCAGACUAAGAGCACAGAGGAGAAUUUUUAUAGAGUAGAAAAACACGAGGCCACCCCUUAUCUAGGCGGUAAGUCCUUUACGUGCCGAUGCACAAUGCAAGAAACGAGGUUGUGUAUACCUAUAGGUAUACGUAUGUAUAGCGUGUGCCUAUGCCGGUUAUAUUAUCUGUAAUGUAUAUUUUAUGAUGUAUUAUAUCUGUAUAAUAUAACUGCGGAUGCCCUCCAUUCAGUGCUGAACGACCGGAGUCUCUGUACAGACAUUCAGCGGCAGUUAUAUUCAUGCGCGUGACCGCUCGCCAAUGGAUUCCGUGUUUCCUCGAUUGUUAGCGAUUUUGAACGACGCCAGCCCCCGUUUGAUCCGACUUUCAAUGUUCUAAAUCGUUCUACCGUUAUCUUUCUGUGGCUUUUAUCUUUAUUUACCAGAUCGUUACGAUUUUACGAACCGAAGAAGACCCGGCGCCUGCUGUAUAUCUGUACAUACAUACCUCGCCAUUAUACAUAUGUACACCCGACCGCUGCCGAUGUAUGUAUUUCUGCUUUUCAUCGGGCAAAACGCGAAAGGAUAUUAUACAAGAGUCAAGAAGGAGGAAAAUGAUGAGCGAUUCGAUUGAAGUCAUCGUACGGCCAGCGAGUCACACCUUGUGAAUCGAGGAUAAGUAUACGGACUUAAUUUAACAAAGUUUUCAAAUUUUUGAAGCGCAGUUUUAAUUUAUACAUCCCAAUCAACGCGAGAUUGAAAAGAUUGCAUUAGUUUCUGUACUUUUCUGAACAGACACACCUACCAAUUUUUUUAUUUUUUUUUUUUGUUCAAUUUGUCUUGAAAUUGGUUACGAUUCUAUCAUAGAUGAAUUGACUCCACGCAAUAAGGAAACUAUAGAUCGCAGGACCAUUGACCCUUUUUGACACCUGCGACAUCUUAUUUGCGACAUGUUUUUCCCCAUUUACACUAGUUCUGGCACAACUGCACCUCGAAAGAUUCACCCUGUACAUUAUUAAUGGAGAGAAGAUGUAAAAUAUGUAUCUUGAUCAACUUUGCCACGUUUUCUGUUCGAUGUCACGACACAAAGGUAACACGGUUGGGUUCGGUAAUCAAGAGAAAAAAGCUAAAGAGAGAGAGAGAGAGAAAGAGAUUUCAUUUUUUGUUAAUUUUGUUUUUCAUAUAGAAUUUACCGUUUCAGUAUAUUGGAUCAUUCGGUUAGAAGAUUAAAGAGAUUUUAAUGACACUCGUAGAUCUCUUUUCAUGUAUGCGAAUAUACUGAUAUUUAUUAUAUGAAUUUCACGAAUAAAACCAGCUCUUAAUUUUUUUUGUACACGAGUCAAGUUCCCUGGCAAAGACAAACGAUUCGGGGGUUUAUUAUAAUUCGCGACAAUAUCUUCUCAAAUCGUGUUACAAUUACGAACACGAGUAAUCUAUAUUGAAAAUCACCAAGCGAUCAGACGAUCCUUCAAUUAAUUUAUCGAUCUUAUAUAAUAAUACGUGCAUUUGUAUAAAUUCAAUCUUCAUGGCUUCAAUUAAUUUUAUCAAUAUAAAUAUGGAAAUUAGCGCAUUGUAGGAAAAAAAAAAAAAAAGAAUUAUGUCAAUUAAUGUACACCUUAUAACAUCUCGUCGAUCACGCGGUUGCAGAAGGGUAAGAGCUUUUGUAUAAUUUAUUUAUUCUGGAGAUCGAGGCGCUCGGCGUAUCGAGUUGCGAGUUCGAUAAAAUAAAUCGCGCUCUAAAAUAUAAAAACUUUCAACUAAAUGAGGAAUAUUAUACGGUCCCAUAUUAUGAUAAUAUGUUUCGCAUAUUCUUACACACCGUCCAAUUUGCAGGAGCCGAACGUAGCCGAGGUAGGCGAACGUGAAACAUUUUAAUUAAUUACAGCGUAAUUAAAAUAGCACGAAAAAUAAAAAAGUAAUAAACAAAUAAACGAAAAGUGUAUCCACUAUUAUAUAACGUUUCUACGUUCGAUAUUUGCCGGGAAUAUGUGAUAUUCUUGAAAUUGUGUACAUACCACAGAAGUAUAUAUAUAUGUAUGUAUAAUAACACAAAUAGGAGAUGAAAGUAUAACGUUGCACCUAUAAUAUAUCAACGUGACACGUAAAUCUGCAAUCUUUGAGAGGCUAGGAAUAUCGGUAUAGAAAUACCUACAUGUAUAUCUGCCGUCAUUUGCCAGAGUUAAAAAUCAUGAGCUGUUCCGAAGCUUCUACAGAAAUCCUUUCAGGUGCACGUGUAUACCUGUAUGUAAAUAAAAUAUGCAAUAUUAGUUCGCAUAAUACAUAGAUAUGAAUACCUAUAUAUAUGUAGGUAUGUAUAACGAACGAUGAUCCAUCCCCGUGUAUAUUACGAGUUCUGCGUGGAAUUAAUUAGUGACGUGUCAGUUAUUCCUAAGUGGGUUUAUACCAUGAUUAUGUGUACGAACGGAGAGCCAACACUUUACAGGUAAUUCAUCUAUAUGUAUAACCUUAUAUGUAUAUACGUACACACGAAUUGCAUAUCAGAAUAUUUGUAUUCGUAUCGUAUUAAUAAUUAAAAGCUCAUUUCCCGAUUCCGCUCGACGAGUAUAUUUCGUAUAUAAAACCUGUAUUAAUUCUGCUUACAUAUAUAAAUUAAAUUAUGGGGUAUAAAUUCGUACGCGGAAUUAUUUAUAUUACCGCAGCGUAAAAGCGGCAUUGAUCAUGCUAAAUGACAUAGGUAAUAUCGCAACGAUAUAAUUAGGUAUACGCGAAUAAUCAAGCGUGAAACAAGGGUUGAGAUUCGUACAAAUACAUACAUGUACGGUAAAACUAUUAACUCGGCAAAUCGCAAUCGUUGAACAAUGUUAAAGCCCGAAUUUAUUUCCCCUUAAAUUCCGAGGGCGUGUCCGAAAUUCUAUCUAUGUCGCAUGUCCAUCGAGGUAUACGUUGCUAUAUAACUAUAUAGGUACGUGAAGUCGUCGGCGCGCAUGAUACAAGGGUUGUUCCAAGGGGCGUCUCGACGCAGGCGCCGGCUGGCGCAGUCCAACUACAAUAAAAGAGACCGGCUCACAAUUCCUGUUUGCCUGUUUUCCUACCGUUUGUUUCGUCCCAAUCUUCGGCCCUAAGUGCCCUGCCAUUAGCACCGAAGCUCGUCGAAAGCAAUCUCCAAUCUACAUUUUCCUUCGUGCGUAUAUUAUGUGCAGAGGUAUGAUACGCCGAGGCGUUGCGGCGCCGCGAUAUCACGUGUACGUUUUGUAACAUAUGUUCAGCGGAUCGUAGGACAGGCUUGUAACGCACGUUUCCCAUACGGCUUUUCUAUGCUUUUCCUGGUUGACUAUUAGGAGCGGCGGAACAGUCGGAUCACCCUCGAUGUGGUGCACAGGGCGGCUAGUCGGAACGUGUGUGUUAUAAAAUUGGAAAGGAGCCUUCUUAACCGGCGUACUUUCCUGUUCCAAAAGUGAGUACGUGCUUUGAAGCUCAAAUUGAGAUAGCAUUUCUGUGGUUGGAGUUACCGCAACAAUAUGUAUAUGUCCGUUCACCGCACAGUUUGCGGUUACUGUACCAUUAGCGGUGAAUUUUCCUGAAAAAUUCAUCGUCAUUCAAGAGUUCGAAUUCUCCGUCAUAUAUGGGCACGACGCGUGCAUCAAAUACCUCUCUGUUUUCUGUCACAUAUGUCUCCUCUGUAUAUAAACAGGUGAAUUAAAGUUUGACACGAUUUUCGAACGUACGAAGUACAUUAUCCUGUAAUUAAUGAUUAUAAUACCAUUUACGAAUGGACAUAGAAAAGCUUGAGGUAAUCAUCCAUCCGCUAAGCCUGAUUAUUAGUUACUUUUGCCUUACAUAUGCGUGGGAAAACGAGUUCAAAGGGGGUAAGAAAGUCAACGUCACGUAGUGUUGGUGUGGGUGUUGUAAGCCCUCGCGAUCAAUACAAACGCGGGUGAAGCUGCUUUCGUACGUCUUAUAGUCUCCGCGUGUCUACCUUCACUACCCAAAGAGGGUUAAUAUCAUUAAUAUGAAAGACUUCUCGGGAAAAAUCGGUAUUUUUUUGUCACUCCGAGCUGCUCCAGUUUUUCUCAGAAACUAAAUGAACAAAUCAAUAAAUAAUCAUGUGCAAUACCUUAACGAUAUUCAGUGGAUUAUACUACGUGUAUCUUCGCCUUUGUUUUUAGGCAAAAAACGAAGAAACGACAAACGCAUAAUUUGAUGAUUACUCAUCUGUGCCGGCGAAUUGAUGGUGUCGUUGGAAUGUGACGUGCUUUCUUUUCUCGAUUUCUCUAAGAAACAAGUAUCUUGAAAGCAGCUGAUUUGCCCAAAUCAGGACAAUGUUAUUGAAAUAAGCAAUCGAUACAAUUAGAUAACAAUAGCGCUUCGAACGAAUCUCAUUCGUUUGUUUUGAUUAUAGAAAAAUCUAAGAUUAUUUUCCUUCUUCCUACAUCAGGUGACGAAAUUUACCCCCUAGAAAUAUGCGCGACACCAGGACACCAUGACUAGGGAGCCUUGUAAUUUUUUUUCCGCCAUUUUAGGGGUUGCACUCGGUUGUUUAGAACGUGCGAAAGUGUCGGUUGAAAAUAUUUUCCAACCAGGAAUACAUGGAUCGUAUGGCACGGUCCUUUAGCCCGGUUGUCGAUGCAAGAUACCCCCAUAUACAGAAUCUCGUAGGUAGAAUACUACCAUAGAAGUGGAUCCAUUAUUUUGCUGAACUGUCAAAAGUGAAAUGCGAAGAUGUGUCUCCCGAAAGCCGAUCGUCAACGUCCCAUCAUUCAUCAAGAAGCGAGCGUUCGAAACAUUCGCUAUAUCAGGCCGACAUGACUACGAGGGAUCGUAUUUUUCAGCGGAUAACCUUGUGUGACCUAUAGCGAACAAGCCGCAAAGCGGCGCAACUUCCAUUCCCCUCAGGAAAACAGGAUUUUCGUGAUUCGAAUGGGAGUGGAAUUGAUAGCGAGAUAAACAAACAUUCGAAAGGAACCCUGUCAAUCAACCUUUCAAACGAAAUUAUGAUUAUGCCACUUACUAGUUCUCGGAAAUACUUUCGAAAUCAGUUGUCAACAUUAGAUUAUGUUUCGACAACUCAGAAUAGAUGCAGGAGAAACGGAAAUUAAUCGUUUUAAGAUUGAGAAGGUGUUCGAUAAAAUGUUUAUUAUAAAAACUAUUUUAUUUCAAAACUCUGAUAACGUGUAUAUUAUCGCUUUUUUCUCGGUACUUCUAUAACAAUAAGUUCUAUUUGAUUUUAUAUGCUUGUAUUUUUCUAUCUAUAGAAACGAGUGUAUUGCGGAAUGAAAUAACCGUAGUAACAAUGUGACUAUCGUUUUCACGCGCAUAAGCGGACAUCAAAACGAAAGGAAGGUUUUUCUACCAGGAUUGAAGGACCAGUACGAAGGAUCGAGAGCACGAUUCACCCAUCCGUUGUCCCACCCUCCUGCGGCUACUAUUUCACACGCUGUUCUCUCGUGCUAGCUCGUGCAACGCUGUCAGCGGAGGAACGCUACUUUAUCAGGAAUUGAGAACUUCGACACCUUCGAUCCAAGCAUACAUGUCGGUAGGUAUACCGCCAUUUCCCGGUGCAUUGGGGGCUGGAGCGUUGCCUCGCAACCAUCCACAUUCAGGGGGCGCAUCAAAACAAACUGGAUACGUUAAAAGAACAGGAUUCAAGGACCGCCUCGAAAGAUAAUUGAACUGCGAAGAGCAAAUAGCGAGGGUGAGUUGUCAGCGGAUCGCAACGAAGUGACCUUCGUUUUCGGGGAUACCUAUACCUAUACCUAUACCUAUGUCAUUAUAAUUGUGUAUUCAAAAAAAUUAUUGUCGGUUAACAAAAGCCGAGGCGCUCAACAGUUAUCGCUACCUUUCCGGAUCUCUGUGACUUCUAACCACCCUUUCCGGGUUCCUUGGCACGAGGACAGAACAUUCUUUAACUGGAAGCAGUGAACUGCAGCUGGGAGAAACAUAUACAUUGCACCAGGCACCGUUUUCAUGUUAGCAUAGAUAUUCUGUGAUGUUACCAACGUAACCGCGUUCACCAUGAAAGAAUGUCAAGACAAUUUUCUUACCUCGCUUAACAGGGUGCAAGAAAUUCGUCGGAACCGAGCGCGUUCUGCCGCGCGUUUUUUCUAUAAGGGUGACACAGGCAAGAUGGAUACGUAUGUUGAAAGGAUACGGAGACAAAUAACAUGUCCAGAUAUCAGGGCACUAGAAAUGACUCGUGGUACACGGAGGAUUUUGGUCCUUUCAACGUCUUAUUUCCAACCUACUAGUGCAUGAAGAUUUUGCCGAAGAGUGGAAAAAGGAACAUAGUUUUCCGUGAACAGGAUGCGAGGAAAGUUCGAAGGAUAUCAGUUUCUCUCGAUGUUUAUCCCAGAUCAACCGAAUAUCAUAUUUCCGCUGCUUCACGAACCAUCUGCAGGUAUCGUCUCAGUUGUCGACGCUGCGGACAUUAUUGACGGCAAAGCGGCGGUGAAAAGUAUCCUCCAUUAUCAGGAUUCGAGAAGUGCCUGCAGAAGUCUUGCUUAAUUUAUUGAUGUGGCGAAUCUAACGGCGGCGACGAACGUUCCGGAGAGCAGAACGAAUUUCCGAUCCUCUGCCGAGGUCGCUGUAAAAUUGUGUAAAGUUGACGUAUCGAAAUUUCGAACUUCAAGAUUGAAGACAACAAAACAUAGAUGCGACUCUCGGACCAUCAAGACACUAAAUUCGAUCUCUGUACUAAUGUGCACUACCCGACUACGAUUUGGAACUGUUAAUUCAUCUCUUUUAUGCCAGACUGUGGCCAAUUGUAAAACUGCUAUGGCCACGAAAAACAAAUCGUGAAUUAUUGGCGCAUGUUAUGUCAAGUUAUGCAUGUCAGGUAUAAAAAGAGGAAAACUUAAUACAACCAGCUGGUACCAUCAGGCUAAGGUAAGGUAAAGUAACGCGGGCCAAGUAUGAAGUGCUUCCUGAAGGUACUAAGAUCCUGGCAUAUUUUCAAGGAAUUUCCACGUGUUGCGUCUUGGCAGACACAGAUAUAUCUGUUUGCACGUGAAAGACUUCCAAGUUCCAAGCAACGCGAAUACAGGUGUAACUAUACAGUACACACUGUGAACCUGUAAUAGUUGAAAUGUGGCGGACGAAAGGUUUACUGACCUCGCACACAACCUUGGUUCUGGAUUCUUUAUAGACACGGAAAACUUCUCGGAGACCUCUACUAGCUUUUACAACCCUGAAGCUCAACUUCCUGUUUCCUCGUGGUUCUUUGACCGUUGCGUACCAUUUUUGUUAACCAGCCGAUAGGAUGUUAUUUACUCGAAACUGCGAUCGGAAGAACGUGCACAUGGUCAUGAUACGAUAGAAUGUGUAUACACAACUUCGGAAAGGAUACUCUUUGUUCUGCUCGCCUGGCACGAGUAUCUGCUACAGCACGUGGCUGUGUCUAGUUUUUGAUCUUUGUAGUGUCCACUGUACUUCAUCUAUCAUCUUUGAUCACAGCGGUACGACCUACAAGAGCGUGAAUACGAUGUCAACAUAUGUCAAUGAAUGCAUUUCCGCCAGAAAACGCACACAGAUGCUGAGAUGACUAUCUCAACACAUAUCUGGCGAGCUCAUUUUUUAUCAACAGUCGUGUAUAAAUAGCUGCCAGAAUUUGAAUGUCGGUUUUCAAACCAAGAUAACACCGGAGGUUGAAGGGUCACCUGUAUCUGGUCCUUCAAACAAGGGGCAAA